This is a long non-coding RNA of Athalia rosae (coleseed sawfly), 5219 nucleotides long. RefSeq lists it as uncharacterized. The transcript is spliced from 5 exons. NCBI's taxonomy places the organism in Eukaryota, Metazoa, Arthropoda, Insecta, Hymenoptera, Athaliidae. The record is from RefSeq and is a predicted model, not a curated record.
GAUUUUCAAAUAAAAAUAAUAGUAGUACGAAAUAUUCAAACAGAAUAAAGAAAAUUAUAAUUUAUUAGACGUACAAUGUAGGUACAUUAUACAUACAGACACACACAUACGCAUAUACUUAUACAUUACCCGUGCCAUAAUUCGUUUGCACGGGUAAAUUAUUUGAGAAUACCGAUAUGAAUUCGUACAAUUAAUAAAUUAGAGUAAAAAAGAAAGGAAUCAAAAGAUAAUCGCGGACGAACCAAAAUGAAACUCAUGUUUCUGUCAUGACCGUUAUUAUUAGUUUCAUUGUAAUUAUUGUUCGGGGUAAUAUUAUUUGUUUUAUCAAUAUUAUGGAAUUUGAUAUCUAUCGUUCACCGGAAGAUUCUCUUUUCAAUCAGCUUAUGAUUUACACAUUCAAUUAUCCCAGAAUGAUGAAUAGUCGAUAAUACUCGUACCAAAAGAUCGGAAAAAAGGGAAAAUUAUUUUUUUGAGAUCAAAAGUUAUGGAAUUAGUAUGAAUGAUUGAUUAGUUGUUUUGAAAUUAUCAUUAAGAUUAUCGUUAUCCUUAUCAUUAUCAUUAUCAUUAUCCUUAUCAUUAUCAUUAUCAUUAUCAUUAUCAUUAUCAUUAUCAUUAUUAUUAUUGUUGUUGGUGUUGUUGGUGUUGUUAUGAUUAUUAUUAUUUUUGUCAUUAUUAUUAUCGUUGUUCUUGUUGUUAUUAUACCAUUAUCACGUUCAUCAUCAUCAUCAUCAUCAUCAUGUCUGAGUAUCGAUACUUACAAAAAUCCGAAUUUACAUAUAUAAAUAUAAUAUGCAAUGCAAUAUAAAAAAGUACACGGUUCGAUUGAUAUUAAUUUAUUGUUUUAUGUAUGUACAUAUAGGUAUUAGAUAUCGUAGGUACAUUUAUACAUACUCAUAUAGUAUGCAUAUAUGCGUGUAUGUUGAAAUAUUAUAAUUCUUAUUAUUAUCAUCAUUACUAACAAAUAUUAUUAUUAUUUUCGGUCUCAUAUAUAGGUAUAUACCGUACAUAAGACUAUAUGAGCGAUUUUCGAGAUUCAAGAAAAUUAUAUUCAACAAAUGGAGAGAAUAAGAGAAAAUUCGCAUGCAGGAAAAUAAGCAGAAUAUUGAAAGAAAAAGAACUAAUAAUAUAGUAUGUAUACCGCCGGACAUGGAGCGACACUACGAUAUAUAAGUGAGUAAUAUGUUAUUAUUAUCAUCAAAGUAAUUAAUAAUUAAUUCACAGCGUUUAUUCAUAAGUAUAUAAAUCUAAGAAUACAUACAUACGUAAUAAAUAGGUACACGAUAGAUAAAUUAUUUGAUAAGUAAGUAAACAAAUAUAUACGUAUAGUGUACAUAUACAUAUAUAAAUAUGUAUAUGUAUAUACUAUAUAUGCCUAUAAUGCUCAAGCUAGUUUAAGACUAGUGCGGCUAGUCAAAAGAGGCUGCUAUAGAUAGAAACAAAAUGAUUGAUUACUGUUAAUGAUAAUGAUGAUAAGAAUGAUAAUAACGAAGAUAAUAAUAAUAACAACAAUUACAACAACAAGAUAAAUGGCAACAACAAGAAUGGCAGUAAAAUUACAUAAAAACCAUUUGAACAAUAAUAUAAUAAUAAACUAGUUAACCGUAACUGAUUUAUUAAACAGUAUAAUCCUACCAAAAGAUAUAUAUAUAUGCUUCCUUGGACUAUACAUGAUAUACAUAUGCCCAUAUACAUAUAUACAUCACUACCUACGAUAUACGUAUAUAAAUAUAUAUCUGACCUGAAACUUAAAAAUACCCUUCCCAUAUGUCAACCCAUGAUAAUUAUAAUAAUAACAAUAAUAAUAUUAAUUAUUAUAAUAUAUAGAGCAGCUAAAUUGCGCAGAAUAUUUUUUAGCCCUUGUUACAUACCUAUACAAUAAUUAUGAUGAUAAUUAUAAAAUUACACAUAUUAUAACAACGACGAUAAAGAUCGCGCUUACGUAUCUAUUGUAUAACCAUAUACAUAUGAAUAUACUAUAUUAUUAUAUCGUUACUAUUAUUAUUAUCUUUGAUUAACAUAUUAAUUAAUUAUCAUUAUUAUUAUUAUCAACGAUUGAAUUACUGUAUAUUAUAACUGAUUGUAAAUCGCUAGAAGAGAGAGAAAGAGAAAGAGAAAAGUGAUACAGAGUAUGUGUAGUAUAAAAAGUAAAAUGACACAAAAAUAUACGAACAAACGUGAACGAACAAUUAGAUAUUAUUAAAUUAUAUUCCGCGUCUAUUAUUUAAAAGACAAAAAUUGCUAAAGUGUAAUAAUUAAAUUUUGUCAUUGUUGUUAUUAUUAUUACUAUUAGUUCUAGUAUCAUUAUUACUGUACAACACUUUUUCAAAAUAUCCUACUCUAUAGAGAGAAUGAAAAAAACUCUAUACCACUUCACGUGUACUUAUACCACCAUUACCACACUAUUUAGUCAUACUGCUACUACUACUGCUACGACUAUUGAAAUUAAUUUGUACAUUACAUAAACACGAGCCGAUUUAUCGAUCAAUAAUUGCUGCGAGAUCGUUCACUCAAAAAGUCUUGAUGCGAUAUGAAAAACGUAAUUGAAACAAAUCGAAGAUAUUGCAAACAGAAUAAUUGAGAGAUGAAAAAAUAUGUUACAAUUUAAUAUACUCGUAAUAUAACGGUAAUAAUAAUAAUGAUGAUGAUGAUGAUAUUAAUAUAACAAUAUAUUAUUAAAUAAUAUGAUAAAGAUAAUAAUAUUAUUAUUGAUAGAAAUAUUAUGCGUGGUAAGCGAUAUUAAUUACUCUAUUAUACGAUUUCACAUGCGAUAAAAAAAUUAUAUAUAUAAAAUAAAAAUAUAUUAUAUAUUAUACAUUAUACAUAAUACAUAAUACAGGAAUAUAUAUAAUAUAAUAUAUAAUAAAUGCAAUAAUAUAUUUAUUGAAUAUUUAUUGAGCAAUAACACAUUUAAAGCAAAUCAAAUGAUGGAGAAAAAAGAAAAACCAAAACGCGAAAAGCGAAAAGAACAAAAAAAAAAAGGAUGUAGCAUAAUUAUUGUACAAAAGCGACGUGAAAUGAGAUCAUGUAGAAAAAGAAUAAAAUUAGAGAAACGACAAGGAUGGAAAAACUAAUCAAAGGGAUCGAACUUUUUGCAAAUAUCAAAUUUCCAGAGCGCGGCGACCACCGAUCCCAUCGUAAAAAAAGGUAACAUAUUGGAAUUAUAAAUUAUACAAUAAUUUGUACAACAUGGUGUCGUUGACUGAGGAUUUGUAAUCUCUGGUCAGCGGUCAUAUGAAGAGGAAAUUCGAAUGGCGCGAAAUAAAGUACACGUUGAAUUUAAAUUGAAAUUAUUCAAACGCUUUGGGAGUGAUCAUGACGAGUGGCGCCUGGUCUGUGCACACGCGCUGCUGUCCUGAGCUGCAGUCGUUGUGCAUACUGCAGUCGGUGAAUGCAGUGGUAAAAUAGUCCAGUGGUGCAGAUACUGUAACAAUGUCACAACUAUGGUGCAUGUGAAUUAAUGAACUGACAGGUAGCCCAGAAAUGUAUACACAGUGAUAUUUUUUAAUGUGAGUCUCGUUAAAAAUAUCGUCCGAAGCACACCUGUCAAAAGUUGUUCGACCUGAUAUUUAGGUUUGGUAGGCCCUAAUCUUCUAUGUGAUUGCAGAUAUUCUGAAGAUUUAGACUGACGACGGAAAUUCUACAGGACAAGAAAAUCACAACAUAGCUCGAGGAUCAUGCAAUAGCAUCAAGGAGUCUUGAAAACCCAAUUCGGAAUAUUCAAGUGAAACUCGAUAAAUGGAUACAAUAUUAUACUUAUAUUCGAUUGAUAAUUUAUGAAAAUGAUUUGGAACAUAUUUUACAAUCAGACAGUUCAACACGCAUUUUGUGAAUGAUAUGACCAAUCGUAUUCAUUACAGUGAUACAUUAUUAAAUAUAUGACGUGUUGAGUAUUAUAAAAAAUAUUUUCAUGCAUUCUACACCAAUGAUUUAUUGAAAAGUAUUGGCACCUCGUUUAUUUGGUUCUACGAUCUGGGAGUAAAUUCAACUGGGAAUAAAUCGCAUUGAGAUCUCUUGAAAUUUUGGUCCGUAAAACGCCAAUUUAUCUCUUGGAUCAUGGAUACAUAUGUUUAACUGCGAUUCGAAUAACAUUCGUCAUUAAUUUUUAUUUUUCGUAUAAAACAUCAAAUUGAUUCUUUGUAUGCCUUUAUUCAUGUUAUUAUAUAAUGAUUAAUGAUACGGACAAUAAUUAAUGAUAUAGUGACUGACUACAGUAACUAGUGACAUUAAAACGCUCCGUAAAACGCCAAUUUAUCUCUUGGAUCAUGGAUACAUAUGUUUAACUGCGAUUCGUUCAUGAAUCGGUACAUCUCCAGUAACCCCUUCUGAAACCAGAUAAUAUUCAACCAAAGUAAGACCAUCUCAGAUUCCAUCCCGAUUUUUCCCUAAACUUUUCCUAUUUAUACCGACUUUUCAAUUGAUUUUUGAAUUCACCAUCUUCCAAGCCCCUAAAGGCGCCUGAUGUUAUGCGCAUGCGCACUUUUCAACGAAGAUACAAGUAGCGCCAAUUCUCGAAAUUUGUGUUGCGGAAUCGGCGCGAACUAAAAUUCCAGGUUUCUUGCCCCUUGACGUCAGAUCACCCGCAUUGCAGCGAAGUGGUCGGUGUAAUGCGGGUGCAUAUAUCAUCAGGCGCUUUCGAGGGGCAUGGAAGGUAGGGUGAUUGAAUAAUUCAUUGAGAAAUUGGAAAAAUAGGAGAGAAUUGCUGACAGUUCGUAGAAGGUAAUUGCAUUCUUGGUCUCGAAAUGGAAAACACUCAGAGGAUCAGAGGCUACAGUUUCCAGACAUUUGCGAUUGUUGGGGCUGGACAAUGAACCCAAGCAACAGUGAAGCUAUGUGUCAGUUUUAUUUCAAUAUGGAUACAGCGUCUCAAUGGCAAAUGCAGAAGAAUCGGUAUACCGAAUUUCCCAGGUGAUUGAUGACACUGUUUGUUGGCAGCUAAGGUGAUUAAAUAGUUCAUGAGGAAAUUGGAAAAAUAGGAGAGAAUUGCUGACAGUUCGUAGGAGGUAAUUGCAUUCUUGGUCUCCCAAUGGAAAACAGUCAGAGGAUCAGAGGCUACAGUUUCCAGACAUUUGCGAUUGUUGGGGCUGGACAAUGAACCCAAGCAACAGUGAAGCUACGUGUCAGUUUUAUUUGAAUAUGGAUACAGCGUCUCAAUGGAAAAUGCAGAAACAAAUGCUGUUCUUUGACAGAACUAUGGCCAUUGCACGCUAUGGCCAUUUUGU